GUUUAGGAGAGAGAUAGGGAGUAAGUUUUUGCACACAUCAGUAGGUUUAUCCGGCUUGGGGAUAGUAAUGAUUGUAGCUAACAACAUCUUUGGUGGGAGUAAACCGGAGUCAGUAGCCUCGAGGUAGACCUUGAGGAGAUGAGGUGCUAGAACCUCUGCGUAAAUCUUAAAGUAAGUGUUUGUGAAUCUGUCCGCUCCUGGGGAUUUGCCCGAGAGUAGACCCUUAAUGGCAGACAAGACCUCGGUAAGGGUUAUAGGCUGUAGGAG
Molecule: non-coding RNA, 267 nt
Organism: Pelobates cultripes (western spadefoot toad)
Lineage: Eukaryota; Metazoa; Chordata; Amphibia; Anura; Pelobatidae
Source: the annotation of a GenBank genome assembly